AGAGAAAGUAUUCUGGGUGGACGUGAAGAAUUGAUACAUGCAGCACAACCCUAAACAAAAAGGAGAUUGGGAGUGUGGAUUUUUUGUGAUGCUAUAUAUGAAGCACAUUAUAGAAAGUUAUGACACUUCAAUGAGGAACCCUAAGGAGAUGUUUAAGUCGGGGAUGAACUAUGG
Molecule: long non-coding RNA, 174 nt
Organism: Papaver somniferum (opium poppy)
Lineage: Eukaryota; Viridiplantae; Streptophyta; Magnoliopsida; Ranunculales; Papaveraceae
Exons: 3
Source: RefSeq, a predicted model, not a curated record